AGCGAACGCUGGCGGCAGGCUUAACGCAUGCAAGUCGAGCGGGCACUCCGGUGUCAGCGGCAGACGGGUGAGUACCACGUGGUAACGUACCCUUUGGUUCGGUACCACGCUGGGUAACUAGACCUCAUACCGGAUACGCCAUUUCGGGAUAAGGCUUUCUGCCGAAGGAUCGGCCCGGGUCUGAUUAGCUAGUUGGUGGGGUAAUCGCAUACCAAGGCGACGAUCAGUAGCUGGUCUGAUACCAUGAUCAGCCACACUGGGACUGCGACACGGCCCAGACUCCGAGGGGGGGGAGCAGUGGGGAGUAUUAGGGGAUGAGCGCAAGCCCAGUCCAGCCACGCCGGGUGUGUGAGGAAUGCCUUAGGGUUGUGAAGCUGUUUGGGCCGGAACGAUAAUGACGGUACCGGGAGAAUAAGCCCCGGCUAACUUCGUG
Molecule: ribosomal RNA, 433 nt
Filed under: uncultured bacterium
Lineage: Bacteria
Description: partial 16S ribosomal RNA
Rfam family: Bacterial small subunit ribosomal RNA
Source: RNAcentral